RNAcentral lists this ribosomal RNA (525 nucleotides) under uncultured bacterium. RNAcentral's name for it is "bacterial SSU rRNA". It matches the Rfam family "Bacterial small subunit ribosomal RNA", at positions 355 to 896 of the family's 1533-position model. The record is from RNAcentral.
UGGGGAAUAUUGGACAAUGGACCAAAAGUCUGAUCCAGCAAUUCUGUGUGCACGAUGACGUUUUUCGGAAUGUAAAGUGCUUUCAGUUGGGAAGAAAAAAAAUGACGGUACCAACAGAAGAAGUGACGGCUAAAUACGUGCCAGCAGCCGCGGUAAUACGUAUGUCACAAGCGUUAUCCGGAUUUANNGGGCGUAAAGCGCGUCUAGGUGGUUAUGUAAGUCUGAUGUGAAAAUGCAGGGCUCAACUCUGUAUUGCGUUGGAAACUGCAUGACUAGAGUACUGGAGAGGUAAGCGGAACUACAAGUGUAGAGGUGAAAUUCGUAGAUAUUUGUAGGAAUGCCGAUGGGGAAGCCAGCUUACUGGACAGAUACUGACGCUAAAGCGCGAAAGCGUGGGUAGCAAACAGGAUUAGAUACCCUGGUAGUCCACGCCGUAAACGAUGAUUACUAGGUGUUGGGGGUCGAACCUCAGCGCCCAAGCUAACGCGAUAAGUAAUCCGCCUGGGGAGUACGUACGCAAGUAUG